This 497-nucleotide ribosomal RNA is filed under the name uncultured bacterium. RNAcentral describes it as "partial 16S ribosomal RNA". It matches the Rfam family "Bacterial small subunit ribosomal RNA", at positions 28 to 507 of the family's 1533-position model. The record is from RNAcentral.
GAUGAACGCUGGCGGCGUGCCUAAUACAUCCAAGUCGAGCGAACAGACGAGGAGCUUGCUCCUUCGACGUUAGCGGCGGACGGGUGAGCAACACGUAGGUAACCUACCUAUAAGACUGGGAUAACUUCGGGAAACCGGAGCUAAUACCGGAUAAUAUUUCGAACCGCAUGGUUCGAUAGUGAAAGAUGGCUUUGCUAUCACUUAUAGAUGGACCUGCGCCGUAUUAGCUAGUUGGUAAGGUAACGGCUUACCAAGGCAACGAGACGUAGCCGACCUGAGAGGGUGAUCGGCCACACUGGAACUGAGACACGGUCCAGACUCCUACGGGAGGCAGCAGUAGGGAAUCUUCCGCAAUGGGCGAAGGCCUGACGGAGCAACGCCGCGUGAGUGAUGAAGGUCUUCGGAUCGUAAAACUCUGUUAUUAGGGAAGAACAAACGUGUAAGUAACUGUGCACGUCUUGACGGUACCUAAUCAGAAAGCCACGGCUAACUACGUG